UACGGAGGGAGCUAGCGUUAUUCGGAAUUACUGGGCGUAAAGCGCACGUAGGCGGCUUUGUAAGUUAGAGGUGAAAGCCUGGAGCUCAACUCCAGAAUUGCCUUUAAGACUGCAUCGCUUGAAUCCAGGAGAGGUGAGUGGAAUUCCGAGUGUAGAGGUGAAAUUCGUAGAUAUUCGGAGGAACACCAGUGGCGAAGGCGGCUCACUGGUCCAUUACUGACGCUGAGGUGCGAAAGCGUGGGGAGCAAACAGGG
Molecule: ribosomal RNA, 254 nt
Filed under: uncultured bacterium
Lineage: Bacteria
Description: partial 16S ribosomal RNA
Rfam family: Bacterial small subunit ribosomal RNA
Source: RNAcentral